CCUGGCGUCAGGACUGAACGCUAGACUACAAGGCUUAAACACAUGCAAGUCGAGGGGCAGCAUAACGAAAGCUUGCUUUGUUGAUGGCGACCGGCGCACGGGUGAGUAACGCGUAUCCAACCUUCCCUAUAGUAGAGAAUAGCCCGGCGAAAGUCGGAUUAAUGCUCUAUGUUCUUCGUUUGAUGGCAUCUGAGGAGAAGCAAAGGUUCACCGCUAUAGGAUGGGGAUGCGUCUGAUUAGGUAGUCGGCGGGGUAACGGCCCACCGAGCCAACGAUCAGUAGGGGUUCUGAGAGGAAGGUCCCCCACAUUGGUACUGAGACACGGACCAAACUCCUACGGGAGGCAGCAGUGAGGAAUAUUGGUCAAUGGGCGAGAGCCUGAACCAGCCAAGUAGCGUGCAAGGAUGACUGCCCUAUGGGUUGUAAACUGCUUUUAUGCGGGAAUAAAGUCCACUACGUGUAGUGGUUUGUAUGUACCGCAUGAAUAAGGACCGGCUAAUUCCGUGCCAGCCGCCGC
RNAcentral lists this ribosomal RNA (517 nucleotides) under uncultured bacterium. Its description in RNAcentral is "bacterial SSU rRNA". It matches the Rfam family "Bacterial small subunit ribosomal RNA", at positions 27 to 518 of the family's 1533-position model. The record is from RNAcentral.